Molecule: ribosomal RNA, 470 nt
Filed under: Veillonella dispar
Lineage: Bacteria; Bacillati; Bacillota; Negativicutes; Veillonellales; Veillonellaceae
Description: bacterial SSU rRNA
Rfam family: Bacterial small subunit ribosomal RNA
Source: RNAcentral
GACGAACGCGGCGGCGUGCUUAACACAUGCAAGUCGAACGAAGAGCGAUGGAAGCUUGCUUCUAUCAAUCUUAGUGGCGAACGGGUGAGUAACGCGUAAUCAACCUGCCCUUCAGAGGGGGACAACAGUUGGAAACGACUGCUAAUACCGCAUACGAUCUGACCUCGGCAUCGAGGAUAGAUGAAAGGUGGCCUCUAUUUAUAAGCUAUCACUGAAGGAGGGGAUUGCGUCUGAUUAGCUAGUUGGAGGGGUAACGGCCCACCAAGGCGAUGAUCAGUAGCCGGUCUGAGAGGAUGAACGGCCACAUUGGGACUGAGACACGGCCCAGACUCCUACGGGAGGCAGCAGUGGGGAAUCUUCCGCAAUGGACGAAAGUCUGACGGAGCAACGCCGCGUGAGUGAUGACGGCCUUCGGGUUGUAAAGCUCUGUUAAUCGGGACGAAAGGCCUUCUUGCGAAUAGUUAGAAGGA